Molecule: ribosomal RNA, 468 nt
Filed under: uncultured bacterium
Lineage: Bacteria
Description: partial 16S ribosomal RNA
Rfam family: Bacterial small subunit ribosomal RNA
Source: RNAcentral
GACGAACGCUGGCGGCGUGCUUAACACAUGCAAGUCGAACGGAAAGGCCCUGCUUUUGUGGGGUGCUCGAGUGGCGAACGGGUGAGUAACACGUGAGUAACCUGCCCUUGGCUUUGGGAUAACUUCAGGAAACUGGGGCUAAUACCGGAUAGGAGCUCCUGCUGCAUGGUGGGGGUUGGAAAGUUUCGGCGGUUGGGGAUGGACUCGCGGCUUAUCAGCUUGUUGGUGGGGUAGUGGCUUACCAAGGCUUUGACGGGUAGCCGGCCUGAGAGGGUGACCGGCCACAUUGGGACUGAGAUACGGCCCAGACUCCUACGGGAGGCAGCAGUGUGGAAUAUUGCACAAUGGGCGGAAGCCUGAUGCAGCAACGCCGCGUGCGGGAUGACGGCCUUCGGGUUGUAAACCGCUUUCGCCUGUGACGAAGCGUGAGUGACGGUAAUGGGUAAAGAAGCACCGGCUAACUACGUG